CUCUGACCAGAGAGACAUCUAGCGGCUCCCCGCUCCCAGUCGCAGUCCAGUCUGUUCUGUGUCCACCUCUCGUUCUGUUAUCCAUGCGCUGUUACUAGAAGGGCCCGCAAUGCUGCGCUUCAUCACACGCCAGGUAAAGAGGCGACCACUGACCCAGACUGAGCGGCUACUGUCCUCACAACAGAGCCCUCCCCCUGCGGACGUCCCCACCGAGGCAGAUGUUGUUAUAAUAGGUGAGCAUUAUAAACUACAUUCUUA
This is a long non-coding RNA of Homalodisca vitripennis (glassy-winged sharpshooter), 258 nucleotides long. RefSeq lists it as uncharacterized. The transcript is spliced from 3 exons. Lineage: Eukaryota; Metazoa; Arthropoda; Insecta; Hemiptera; Cicadellidae. The record is from RefSeq and is a predicted model, not a curated record.